CCAGACUCCUACGGGAGGCAGCAGUGGGGAAUAUUGCACAAUGGGGGGAACCCUGAUGCAGCGACGCCGCGUGGGUGAAGGAGCACCUCGGUGCGUAAAGCCCUAUCGGCAGGGAAGAAACAGACGGUACCUGACUAAGAAGCCCUGGCUAACUACGUGCCAGCAGCCGCGGUAAUACGUAGGGGGCAAGCGUUAUCCGGAUUCACUGGGUGUAAAGGGAGCGUAGACGGCCAUGCAAGCCUGGAGUGAAAGCCCGGGGCCCAACCCCGGGACUGCUCUGGGAACUGUGCGGCUGGAGUGCGGGAGGGGCAGGCGGAAUUCCUGGUGUAGCGGUGAAAUGCGUAGAUAUCAGGAGGAGCACCGGCGGCGAAGGCGGCCUGCUGGACCGCGACUGACGUUGAGGCUCGAAAGCGUGGGGAGCAAACAGGAUUAGAUACCCUGGUA
This 444-nucleotide ribosomal RNA is filed under the name uncultured bacterium. RNAcentral's name for it is "bacterial SSU rRNA". It matches the Rfam family "Bacterial small subunit ribosomal RNA", at positions 331 to 792 of the family's 1533-position model. The record is from RNAcentral.